Myotis davidii is the source of this 116-nucleotide long non-coding RNA. RefSeq lists it as uncharacterized. The record is from RefSeq and is a predicted model, not a curated record. The transcript has 3 exons. NCBI's taxonomy places the organism in Eukaryota, Metazoa, Chordata, Mammalia, Chiroptera, Vespertilionidae.
UAUAGCUUGAUAUCUGGUAUUAUGAUACCUCCAAAUUUGUUACUCUUUCUCAAGAUGGCUGUGGCUACUCGGGCAUCUUUUCUGGUUCCAUAUAAAUUUUUGGAAUAUUUGUUAGA